Molecule: ribosomal RNA, 473 nt
Filed under: uncultured bacterium
Lineage: Bacteria
Description: bacterial SSU rRNA
Rfam family: Bacterial small subunit ribosomal RNA
Source: RNAcentral
AUACGGGAGGCAGCAGUGGGGAAUAUUGGACAAUGGGCGCAAGCCUGCAUCCUAGCCAUGCCGCUGUGACGUGAUGACGGCCUUAGGGUUGUAAAGCUCUUUCGCUCGGGACGAUAAUGACGGUACCGAGAUAAGAAGCCCCGGCUAACUUCGUGCCAGCAGCCGCGGUAAUACGAAGGGGGCUAGCGUUGUUCGGAAUUACUGGGCUGUAAAGUCGCGUGUAGGCGGGUCUUUAAGUCAUGGGGUGAAAUGCCAAGGUCAACCUUGGAAACUGCCUUUGAUACUGGGGAUCUUUGAGUCCGGGAGAGGUGAGUGGAACUUGCGAGUGUACAGGUGAAAUUCGGAGAUUUCGGAAUGAACCACCAGUGGCGAAAGGCGGUCAACUUGGCCCGGAACUUGACGGCUGAGAACGCGAAAGCGUGGGGAAGCAAACCAGGAUUAGAUACCCUGGGUAGUCCACGCUGUAAACGAUG